This 2593-nucleotide unclassified non-coding RNA is filed under the name Sitophilus oryzae (rice weevil). RNAcentral's name for it is "zinc finger protein with KRAB and SCAN domains 1- like, transcript variant X1". The record is from RNAcentral. Lineage: Eukaryota; Metazoa; Arthropoda; Insecta; Coleoptera; Curculionidae.
CUUUAUACCUGGAUUAUCCGAAAGUGGAGUUUCAGUCAGGUGUCGGUAUUCUUCAGGUAUGUCAGUGAAGUUUGCUUUUUGAUUGUGCGCUGAGCGUCGUUAAUGCGAUCUCGCUGACGGUGAUUUUAGCUGUUGAUUUUGAUUCGAACAAUUUGAUUUUGUCGGUUCAGGACAGAUUUGUUAUCGGUGUUACGAUAAACAGUGUAGAAAUCGUUUAUUUUCGUGUUGAGAGUGAUAUGUUGGACAGAAGUUUCUGAUUGGGUCAAUUCUUACUGUGAAAUAUCUGGCACAAGGAUGCCCCGAAUCGAGGAGCUGCACCACUACGACACGGGCGGCUCACCCUUACGCUCGCCCCCCUCAAGCCCCAACAGCAGCACGGCCAACAGCAACAGCAGCAUGGCCGCGGGGGUGUCCAGCGGGAGCACGAGCCCCUCGUCCCCCCGGCCCCCCGAUCUAACGCCAUCCAGACCGAGCGCCUUCUCUCUGGUGUACCCUAGGGAUCAGAAGACCAAGGAGUAUCUGAGCAAUAUGGGCGCUCUUAUGUACGCCAACUCAUUAAGGCGCAGUAUUCCUACUUACCCCCCUUAUCUGUGGUACCCCCUUCCGGGCCUGUUCCUACCCUAUAGCCCAGCAAAUAGACCGGAGUCGCUGAGUCCGGAUCAAGCUACAUCCAGCGAUGCCGUCUUCGUACCUGAAAAGGCCAAAGUGGAGGAAGACGCUCCCCUCAACCUAUCCCUGAAGGGCCGAUCUAGAACCCACGGCAUAUGGUCGCCGGGUACCGUUUGCGAGCAGGAGAUGAAGGACGUGCAGCGGAAGAACUUGCUGGGUGCGAGCGGUACCACGGUCACUCCGGACAAGGUCCUGGAUUCGAGGCUACGCUGGGAGCAGGAGAAAGAAGGCCAGGGCAGGGGUAGCAGCAGCGGCUCGUCGCCGGAGAAGCAGUUUACGUGUCAACAAUGUGGCAAGUCGUUUAAGAGAUCGUCAACACUGUCAACGCAUCUACUGAUUCACUCGGACACUAGGCCGUACCCUUGCCAAUACUGUGGCAAGAGAUUCCACCAAAAGUCUGAUAUGAAGAAGCACACGUAUAUUCAUACAGGCGAGAAACCGCACAAGUGCGUCGUCUGUACGAAAGCCUUCAGCCAAUCGUCCAAUCUGAUUACGCACAUGCGUAAACACACCGGCUACAAGCCCUUCUCGUGCGGGCUGUGCGAGAAAGCGUUCCAGAGAAAAGUGGACCUGAGGAGGCACAGGGAGUCGCAGCAUUCCUCCAUUCCAGAGGUGGUCAUCGACAGCAUGUUCCGCGCUGUCAAUCAGCUGAAAGCCAGUGUGAGUGGCGUGAAUGGACUCGGUAAUGGUGCUUAAAACUGGAAAUCUGAGUUGUCCAGGUCGAGGUUUACAUAAAUGUUUUGUUUAAAUUGACGAAUUUACGAUUUACACAAGUUUGGUCUAAUUGAAUCUGUACAUGCCAAUGAAAUAUGGUUUAAGAUUUAUGGCGUUUUCAAAUAACAACAGGCAGCAGAAUUGUCAUAGUAGCUGCUGCAUUUUUUAUCAGAAAUAGAAUUACUUACAUACAAGGAAUACACAAACCUUGUAAAGAAAAGUAUCUCAUUAGUACGUUGAAAAAUUUACAUAAGUUCUUAUUUUAACUGAAGAAUUACACAGAGUAAAACUUAGUUUUCUUAUCUUCUAUUGGUCAGUGAAGCAAAUGGCAUAGAUUUAAGAUUUAUAGCAUUUUUAAUCGACACCCUCUAGCGUCAGUGACAACACAGGACUGUGUAAUCGCGCGUAAAGUUGGAAAUUUGAAUUUUCAAGGCCGCAGUUUACAAAAAUGUUUCUUUAAAUUAACGAAUUUACACAAGUUUGGUCUAACUGUAACUGUACAUGCCAAUGAAAUAUGGUUUAACAAGAUUUAGCGCGUUUGCAAAUGACAACAGGCAGCCGAAUUAUCAGAGUAGGUACUGAAAAUCUACAUUGAUGAUUCGUGUCAAUUGCUACUACUUCUGUCUAAUUCUGUCUAAUUCUGCUACAUGUUGCCUACUAUUUAGUUUUAUCAAAUAUAGAAUUACAUCUACAAGAAAAACAAACCUUGUAAAGAAAAAUACGUUUUCAAAUUCUAUUGAUUCUCGAUACGUUGAAAAAUUUACAUAAGUGUCUAUUUUGACUGACCAAUUACACAGAGUAAACCUUAGUUUUCUUGUGUUCUAUAGAUCAAUAAAACAUGGCAUAGAUUUAAGAUUUAUAGCGUUUUCAAUCAAUACCAUCUACCGUCAGUGACAACUCUAGACUGAGUAAUGGCGCGUAAAAUUGGAAAUUUGAAUUUUCAAGGUUGCAGUUUACAAAAAUGCUAGUUUAAAUUGACGAAUUGGCAUAAGUUUGGUCUAAUUGUAUCUGCAUAUGCCAUAUAUCUACAUUGAUGAUUGGUGUCAACUGUUACUACAUAAGUUUGCUGUACAUCUACAAGGAAAUCAAAUCUUGUAAACAAAAACACGUUUUCUAAUUCUUUUGUUGCCUGUGAAGUUAAUAUACAUACAAAAUUACAUAAAUUUUUAUUUUAACUGACGAAUUACACAGAGUAAAACUUAGUUUUAAU